Molecule: long non-coding RNA, 981 nt
Filed under: Dasypus novemcinctus (nine-banded armadillo)
Lineage: Eukaryota; Metazoa; Chordata; Mammalia; Cingulata; Dasypodidae
Description: lncRNA (ENSDNOG00000050001.1)
Source: RNAcentral
GAUCUCACCACCAGAUGAGGUAAGAACUCUCAAGGGAGGGCAGGACUCUGACUCUAUGCUGUGCGUGAGUGGGGGACAACAAUUCCAGGGGUGGAUCAAACUCCUUCCCUCCCACUCUGUCACUUCCCUCUCCCUACUCUGGCACAUAUGGCCUGGUGCCUUAUCUCUUCCUUCUAAUCCAAUGCACUCAUGCCUGGCUCCACCCCUUGUUUGAGCAUUUCUGGGUGACCUCCCAUCCUCAGGAAGAGAAGACUAUUCCAGGGAUGCCAGCACUGAGGGAGUAGAACCUUGCCAGCAUGAGGAACACUCACAAUCCUCAUCCUCCCAGAUUCUCGUUGCACUCUGCCUCCGCGUGCGGUGCCAUGAGUACCUGUCUUGACCUUUGACGAGGGUGCCUCUACCUCCUAAUCCCCCAGAACCUGGCACCGUGCCUGCUGCACACUGGGAUGCAGUAGUGGCUCAGACGGACAAAUGAAAUGGGACCAGAUCCAAAGGUGUUCUGUAGUAAGGGUGCCGAGGGGGGCUGCUGGCACUGUCCCUUCCUGGUUUCUUCUCUUAUUUCCAGCCUCUAUUUUCACGCUUCCAACUGUGCCACGCCAUAUGACCUUUCUUAAUCUGUUCUCCCUGUUGAAAAGCACUAUUCUUACAAUCAUGAUCAAGCAACAAACUGACAAGCCUUGACUGAGCAUGCCUAGUCAUGGACCAGGUUAUGGCCGUGCUGGAGAGAGCUCCAAGUGCACCUCUUAGGGGAUCCUGGGGAAGAAGUGCAAUGACACAGGAGCCAGCAGUGACAUCACGAGAUGCAGGAGAGACCCAGAAGGGAAGAGUCAGCAAGGCUGGGUGGACUGUAGGCGUUUCGCAGCAGGUGGAAUUCCCACACUGUGACUGCACGCCCUCUGAUACACCCUUCUGCAGCGGUUUUGCCAAACUCAGCUCUUUGGACUCCGCCAUCUUCUACUGCAUUCAACUAAUUAUGACACC